RNAcentral lists this ribosomal RNA (497 nucleotides) under uncultured bacterium. Its description in RNAcentral is "partial 16S ribosomal RNA". It matches the Rfam family "Bacterial small subunit ribosomal RNA", at positions 28 to 507 of the family's 1533-position model. The record is from RNAcentral.
GAUGAACGCUGGCGGCGUGCCUAAUACAUGCCAGUCGAGCGAACAGACGAGGAGCUUGCUCCUCUGACGUUAGCGGCGGACGGGUGAGUAACACGUGGAUAACCUACCUAUAAGACUGGGAUAACUUCGGGAAACCGGAGCUAAUACCGGAUAAUAUAUUGAACCGCAUGGUUCAAUAGUGAAAGACGGUUUUGCUGUCACUUAUAGAUGGAUCCGCGCCGCAUUAGCUAGUUGGUAAGGUAACGGCUUACCAAGGCAACGAUGCGUAGCCGACCUGAGAGGGUGAUCGGCCACACUGGAACUGAGACACGGUCCAGACUCCUACGGGAGGCAGCAGUAGGGAAUCUUCCGCAAUGGGCGAAAGCCUGACGGAGCAACGCCGCGUGAGUGAUGAAGGUCUUCGGAUCGUAAAACUCUGUUAUUAGGGAAGAACAAAUGUGUAAUUAACUAUGCACGUCUUGACGGUACCUAAUCAGAAAGCCACGGCUAACUACGUG